AGUGAACGCUGGCGGUAGGCCUAACACAUGCAAGUCGAACGGCAGCACAGGAGAGCUUGCUCUCUGGGUGGCGAGUGGCGGACGGGUGAGGAAUACAUCGGAAUCUGCCCAGUCGUGGGGGAUAACGUAGGGAAACUUACGCUAAUACCGCAUACGACCUUCGGGUGAAAGAGGGGGAUCGCAAGACCUCUCGCGAUUGGAUAAGCCGAUGUCGGAUUAGCUAGUUGGCGGGGUAAUGGCCCACCAAGGCGACGAUCCGUAGCUGGUCUGAGAGGAUGAUCAGCCACACUGGAACUGAGACACGGUCCAGACUCCUACGGGAGGCAGCAGUGGGGAAUAUUGGACAAUGGGCGCAAGCCUGAUCCAGCCAUACCGCGUGGGUGAAGAAGGCCUUCGGGUUGUAAAGCCCUUUUGUUGGGAAAGAAAUCUUUCAGGCUAAUACCCUGGGAGGAUGACGGUACCCAAAGAAUAAGCACCGGCUAACUUCGUG
This 490-nucleotide ribosomal RNA is filed under the name uncultured bacterium. RNAcentral describes it as "partial 16S ribosomal RNA". It matches the Rfam family "Bacterial small subunit ribosomal RNA", at positions 29 to 507 of the family's 1533-position model. The record is from RNAcentral.